AUCCUUUUUAUUUUUUCUGAGUGGUUUUCCACCCACAGCUGGCUGAAUCCAGGAACGUGGAACCCAUGGAUAUGGAGGGCCAGCUGUAUUGGCUGUGCCUUACAAAUGAAGUGCACCAGAGGCUACAAUAAAUAUUCAAUUGCUUUUCAAUUACUAUGGAUAGUGAAUUGAGUUCUCCCUUUUUCUUAAUGUGACACAAUGCUGAUCUGGGCCCACAAGUGGAUGUGUCUUUCCGUGGGUUGCCCCCCAAUUCCCCAGCUCUGCUAACCCUCCCGUGUUCAGCCACCCUGAGCAAUCUUGUUCCCUCACCCACCACAUCUCUCCACCUGAGACAUGAACACCCCACCCUAACGUCCCUCUGCUCAUCCAACUCCUGUUCAUCCUUUCUUUGGGAGAUCUUCCAUGGCUCCCUGGGUGACCCCUACUCACUGAGUCCUUAGUUCCCACUGCACCCUGUGCCCAACCUGGGAAAAGCCUGAGCUCUCUCGGGUUCCUCGCUUUAAAAUGGGAUCACUUGCCUGCCCCUGCUGAAAACGAGGCAAGGUAGAAGAAAGCCCUUUGCAAUCUGUAAAGGGCUAGCUAGGCACCUGAGGGCUGUUAUUGGCAUUUGGUUCCAGGAAGGCCCUGUUUUUGAUCGUCUUCUCUGUUCCAUCCUCUCCAGGUGAAGCUUCAAUGUGCCCCGAGAGCCAGGUAUCCGCAGAAACAGAAAUACUGUGUUAUUGGCAGGAAUUAGAUAAGCUUGUGAAUUUAGGGAUCUGCUUCGCGCCAAUUUCAUCAGCUUGGGGAUGGGGGUGGGAUGGGAGUGGGCAAUCUGACUCUUCUAGGACAGCCUCCUCGUAUUCCAGGUUAUUGUUUCCCCAUCCCAGGAAAUCCUGCGGGUGCCUUCCCCCAACGAAAGCCACUGAUGUCGCCCCUCUCCUCCCAGCAGCUUCCAGACCGCGACCUUCUGUAGCUCUGCUCAGAACUUCACCUGGAACAGCUUCUUACAAUUCUUAAACAGCCCCUCAGUCGACUGUGAUUAAGCAUACACUCCAGCCUCAGCAAGCUUGGCGUCUGCCCCUGCCGCUGGGAGACCCUCCUCCAGGCACCUGCCCUGGGCCCCGCCCCGCCCGGUCCGCGCGCACGCGCAGUGGCCCCACCCCGCCCCGCCCCGCGACGCCCGAGGACCCGACGGAGCUACACCCGCUAGUUCAGCCAGGAGGCCCUGCGCGGCUCCGGGGAGAGCUGGGUGGUUAUGCCACCUCAUUAGACACAUUGGUGGACGAUGCCGCGGAUUAGCGGGAUGGUUUGUGUACAAACGAAGCCGUGUCACUUCUCAAGUGUCGGUGCUCAACGUGGCAACGCCCCUCCCGCCCCCAGUACAGAGAUCCUGCCCAUCCACCGACAAUCCCCCUCCUCAUCUUCCUUCCCCCAGGUGCGAGUGAUUCAAGGAAAUCCGACUGGAGGGAACACACGCUGCGAUGCACCCUCUCCUCUUCCAUUGAGCCAGGGGUGACCUUGAGAGACUCAGGCCACCUCACCAGGCUCUACCAGGAACAGCGUCUACAGCUGGUAGAGAGCACGGGCUGCAGAGAGGUAAAGAUGGGGUUCGGAAGCCAAGGCUCCCCUUGUUGCAUGGGUGACAUCAGGCAAGCUACUCAACCUCUAACCCUGGCUUCCCCUUCUGUAUACUGGAGACAGUAUCGGCCCCACAGGCACUUGUGGAGCAAGUGGGUUUGAGCUGAGCUCCUCUGAAAAUCAGAGGCACACUCAGAGAGUAGCUCAGAAAACCAGGAUGUGUCAGUUUCAUUUGCUGGGAAGCAGAAGCCAAGAUAGAAUUAGAAGUGCAAUGUCUGUGAAGGAAGAAUAAAGGGAAAAGGAAACAGGAGUGGGGCAGGGGGCAGACCAAAAGGAAGACAGACAAGUGUGAGAAGGAGCCCCACAGUGCAGUGUAAGCUUAAGAAGGUGUGGAGAGGAUGGGAGUCACUCACUGGGCAGGAAUGGCCCAGCUCCAGCACCUUGCUAUGACCAGCCAGCUGCUGGGAACAGGCCAGGAAGAGUGUGGCCUUAGCGCAAACACUGGGGUGGAUCUCGAGAUGAAGGUGUGGCCGCUGGAAGCUGUCACUUCACCACUCCUCUUCUGAAGAGAGAGCUGAGCCCUGCACAUGGGAGCAUUGGUGAAAAGGGUGGUAGACGUUUAUCAGUAACCUUACUGGUUUUGUGCUCCAUCCUCCAUCUCCCAAAGUCCCCCUGACCUUGCCUUCAGCUCCAGGAAUGGCCACAUGACUCAGACAAAGCCAACCAGCCAUCCCAUUUCAGUGGCCAGUGAUGAAUGAUUCAGUGUUUACCCAAACGCAUCCAAUCAGGGUGAAUCUGAGGACAUUUGCUGGGGAGGCUGGGACACAGAUAAUCUCUUUUCUGACAGAUGGUAACAAGAAAGUAGGUAGCUGCAGGGGCUGCUGGCAGCCAUCUUGAGACAUGAAAGGUGUCCAAAUUGGGAUGAAUUCAGCACUGAAGAUGGUGGUACAGAGAAACAGGAGAUAGGGCCUUUGAUCACAUUGUUGGAUGGCUGGUUAAGCCUCUCCUGAAAUCCAUUCUACUGCUGGACUUUACAGUUCAUAAACUAAUAAAUCCUCUUUACUGUUUGAAGCAGUUGUGUCAGGUGUCCUGUUACGUAUAAGAAAGGCCUCUGAUUUGAUCAGCAAUAGGGAACUGGAUGUCCUCUGAGCUCCAAAAGUCAGCACAGGCCUAAUGCUCAGGCGUUAUGGAGCCUCGGACUGAUGAAAGGGUGGUAUGGGCAUCCAUGACUGCUUUUGGGACCUCAGGGGAGCAGUGUGUGAAUGUUCAUUUCAGAGUAAUGACAGCAACUCCACGUGUCUGCAUCCUUUUACGCCCAGCCACUCCCUUUCCUAUGACCAGCUGCUGUCUUCACCCUCUCGCCUGUAUCUUUUCUCCAUUACAUAGAUCCUCCUAACUCACACUUCCUCCUUCCUGAGUCGAGUUUGCAAGACUGAUUCCAGAUUCACCUUGUGAUUAUCCUAACGCAUCUCUUACCUUCAAUAACUUCCAAGGGCCUUAUCCUCUCUUCAUUUCCCAAUUCAAAUUUCCGGGAGCAGGACUUGGAUUAUCCCAGCUCUUGCCUAUUUAGACAACCUCAGAGAUUCUAUUUCCACUGUAUGUGGAGGGGACUGAGUAUUGGUACUUUUGAAAAGUUUCUUGGAUGGUUCAAGUGUGCAGCCAGAGUCAAGAACCCCUGGAUUAGUAGAGCUUUCCAGGCCAGCUGACCCCACAGUCGGCCCUUGGGUCAAGUUCAAGCUCAAUCCAGUCAGCUAAGAGCAGAGCCACAGGGUCUCACUAUGCCCAAAGUCCCUUCCAUUGGCAGAAUCUGUGGCUACAGAAGGAGUGAGAGGAGGCCAGGCACAGUGGCUCAUGCCUGUAAUCCUAGCAUCUUGGGAGGCCAAGGCAGGUGGAUCACCUGAGGUCAGGAGUUCGAGACUAGCCUGGCCAACAAGGCAAAACCCCAUCUCGACUAAAAAUACAAAAAUUAGCCAGAUGUGGUGGCAGACGCCUGUAAUCCCAGCUACUCAGGAGGCUGAGGCAGUAGAAUUGCUUGAACCCAGGAGGCGGAGGUUGCAGUGAGCUGAGAUCGUGCCACUGCAUUCUAGCCUGGCAACAGAGUGAGACUCUGUCUCAAAUAAAAAAAAAAAGAAGGAGUGAGAGGAGAUAGGCCCCUGCUUGACAUGCUGAGGACAAACAAGCCUAGCACAGCGCUUGGCUUCAUGCAGUCGCUCAACAAAUGACAGAUGUUAUUACAUUCCUGUCUCUUCUGUAAUUCAAGGGGAUGCAGUUGGCCCUCCGUAUCCUGGGGUUUCACAUCCAUGACUUCAACCAACCACAGACUGAAAAUAUUCAGAUAAAUAAUAAAAUACAAUAAAAAAUGCAUAUUUUAAAAAUAAUAUAGUAUACUAACAAUUUCCAAAGCAUUUACAUUGUAUUAGGUAUUAUAAGUAAUCUAGAGAUGAUUUAAAGCAUACAAGAGAAUGGAGGUAGGUUAUACACAACUAUUAUGCCAUUUUAUAUAAGGGACUUGCACAUCGCUGGAUUUUGGUAUCUGAGGAAGUCCUGGAACCAAUCUCCCACAGAUACCGAGGGACGACUGUAUUGUCUUUAAAAUAAACUAUGCAUCUGGGUGUGGUGGCAUGCAUCUGUAGUCCCAGCUACUCGGGAGACUGAGGUGGGAAGAUCCCUUGAGUUCUGAUCACAUUACUGCACUCCAGCCUGGGCAACAGAGUGAGACCCUAUCUCUUAAAAAAAAAAAAAAACGUAAAAAAUAAUAACGUAAAACGAAAUAAACUAUGCUGCUAUAACACAACAGAGGAAGAGCUGCUGAGGAAGCACCUAGAGGAUCUAGGCAUCCAUGCUUAGCAAAUUUACUACAAAAACAGGAAAAUCCUCGCUAAUCAGAUUUACAUUUGAGAGCAAUUGCUGCCAGUGCAAUAGGAAUAAAUGCAGUUAUGAGUGUUAUAUUUCAGGAGGUUAUUUGAUGACAUGGGAAACAGGACCUCAUGUUAAGAGAAAGAAGGAUAUAAAUUUAUGUAGUAUAUGAUUCAAAUUUUGUUUAAAAACUACAUGUGUUUACUCAUGUUUCUACAAAGAAAAAUAGAGAAACUGAAAAGGUAUCUGUGGUUUCUCAGGAGAAAGAGUUGUUCUUUUUUUUUCUUUUUUUCUUUUUUUUUUUUUUUGAGAUGGAGUCUCACUCUGUUGUCCAGGCUGGAGUGCAGUGGCAUAAUCUCGGCUCACUGCAACCUCUGCCUCCCAACUUCAAGCGUUCAAGCGAUUCUCCUGCCUCAGCCUCCCAAGUAGCUGGGACUACAGGCAUGCACCACCAUGUCCGGCUAAUUUUUUUGUAUUUUUAGUAGAGAUGGGGUUUUGCCAUGUUGGCCAGGCUGGUCUCGAACUGCUGAGCUCAGUCCUCGGCUUCGAUCCACCUGCCUCGGCCUCCCAAAGUGCCGGGAUUACAGGCGUGAGCCACUGCACCCAGCCGAGAGUUUUUCUUAAAGCUAAUUAUGUCCAAUUUAGAGGGCUAAUCUUUAUUCUAAAUACUAUCCUUCUACUUUUUGGCAUUAACAGGCUUUUAUGAAAGGAUUGUUUCAGUAGAAUACUGCCUGGGUUGGGUUAGAGAUGCACAUCCAGAAUGAAAAGUCGGCAGCCUUAUGUCAGCACCCUCUGCACGCUACCCUGUUUGGUUUUGUUUCUAAUUUUAAUUUUGUAGAAAUCAAUACAGAACUCUGGAACCCACUGCUUUAGAAGAUAAGAAUCUCUUUCCUGCUCCGAUCAUUCUGGCUUGCCUUGGAUUUAAGGCUCUUCCAGAAGGACCUGGCCCUGAUUCACUGGGAUAAUGUCCACCAUGUCCAGGGGCACUGCCCAGAGGGGGUACUUUUCAUAUUCUCUACCAACUAAUCUUCCACCUGCCAGCCUAGGGGGCAGUGAGUGGAGAACGCUGGGAAUUCAGGGUUGGGGAGGAGGGACAGCAACAGGAAAAGAUUGAACAUAUGUGCCAAUUAGGCCAGGAGAUGAGGACCCCAGACCCGGAAGAAGGAGGAAGAAGAAAGACACACUUGAUCUUCCUGCUUAGAAUGUUGGCAGAAGUCAUAUUCAAAAGAUAAGAGAAUCAAGACUUAUGAAACAAAAGAAAACCAAAGAAAGGCAACACGGCCGAUGCUAGGUGGGGAUUACUAGCUAGUAAAGAGCUGUCGAGUGUUUGAUGCCAUUUAUUCAUUUGAGCUCUCCAGUUGCCUAGUUUUUCAUUCAACAAGUGUCGUCUGAAGGUGUUGUGUGGACAGAACGUUGUGUGGGAUCCAAAGCUGAAACAGAUACUUAAGUCUGUGCUCUAGUAAAUAAGAUAGGACACGCAUAUUUACCCCACAGGGAGCAAUAAAUACUCUAAGACCAUUACAAAUUGUUCUGGGAGUUCAGAGGAGGGAAUUUAUUUCUAGUCCAGAGCAAUGAAGGGUGACCUCCUGGAGGAAGUGGCAGUUGAAUGGGGGCCUUGAAGGAUGGGUGAGAUUUAAACAUGCAAACUAUCAGCAAGGGAAACGGGAGAGCAACGCAGGAGCAAACAUCAAGAUGGGAAAACACAAAGCAUGUAGGGGAAACACAAAUGCAAUAUUUUGUAUUAUGGGCGAGGCUCUACAAGAGGCACUGGAUUGCAAUGGGACUAUUGUUUCCAGGGGCCCUCUGGGCUGGUGGUCAAACUACUGGAACUAUCACUAUUUCAGACCAAGCCGGGCUCACAAGUCUUAGCUGUUCUUGCCAAUUCUUCUCCUGAAUACUCACUCCAAUAAGAGCAGUCAGGAAAUGUUUCUUGGGAAAUAGCUUCAAAGACACCAACAUACCACUAUGAACACUUAAAAUAUGGAGACAGAGCAUUUGGAGUACUGCUCCCAGCAUGUUGGAGGGAAAAGAAGCAAGACCCUUCCCAGAGCCUUGAGACAAGAGUUGUGUCAACUGUGGAUGGCUGUGCCCCAGUCACUUGAGAGACAUGAAUCAAUUUCCAGCUGCAUUUAUCACUUGCUGCCUUAAAUCAAGUCUAAUCAAUGCUUCCUUCAUUUGGUAUGGAUUGAAACUAUAUAUAACACACUCAGAAAACAGGAGAGAAAAGCAGCAGAUCACAAAAAUUCCAUCAGGGAUUUAGAUGGAAUGAUGUUAGAGAAACAUUUGCAAUCUUUCAUUUGCUCUAAUGGAGACCCCUGACCAAACAAUCAGAGAUUUGCGUUUAUGAAGCUUCAUUUGAAUUUACCUGACAUGCAAUGACAUUCCAUGACAGGUCAUUUGAUACAUUGGGGGGGGGGGGUGGUUUCUGCAUCUUUAAGGAUUUUAUAAUUAAUACACUCUUAGGAUCUGAUGUAUAUUUAUAAUUUUAUUCCUAUACUAAGUUUUAAACUCAUUUCCAUUUAUUUUAGAGAUAUCUGUUUUGUCAUCAUUGACUAUAUAAGUCAAUUUCCAGUUAUAACAUAUAAAGUAAUAAAAAUCCCUUUGUAACAAAGUAGAU
This 7030-nucleotide long non-coding RNA is filed under the name Homo sapiens (human). RNAcentral's name for it is "long non-coding RNA NONHSAT194084.1". The record is from RNAcentral. Lineage: Eukaryota; Metazoa; Chordata; Mammalia; Primates; Hominidae.